AUUAACACAUCACUUCAUAUUUCAUUACAUAACACAACCCAGCAAGCAUUGCAUCAGUUCAAGACCAAAAGCUACAGCCAUGAUAGCUUACACAGCUACAGCCAUAUCAGUUCACAUAACUAUAACCAUCAGCUCUUCCUAAUGCAUAAAUUGAAAACCAAUAGCUGCAACCAUCGGUGCAUCAGGACAUCACUACAACCAACAGCUUACAUCACAUAGCACCUAGCUUACAUAGAUACAGGAAAGUAACUAGAACAUUGGCGUUACAGAAAAACAGGGCACUUCUAUAGUCGUCAAACACCAGAGCAGCCAGCAUCGCCUCCGGUGCCGUCAUCCCUGCCACAGUAAGUCGCAAAGUGAUGGUUACGGGGGAGCUCGGCGCCUGCGGCCGGUAGCCAUGCAUCUGGCAGAUGUUCCGUGAGUACAAGGGCGCCAUGGGAGCAUUGCAGACCUUAUGCACGAGCAUUGCAGCCAGCCUCAGCUCGCCACUGCUGCCGCCGAUGGCCCUCGCCCCCGAACCAGCCCACAGUAGAGCUUGCCCGGAGCGUACAAUGCCGGCGUGCGUGUGAAGAGCAGUUGUCCGGUCUCCGGCCGGAGAAACUGCUCGCCGCGGCGCCGCACUAACUGGACAAACGAAAUGGAGAGCAGUCCUGCGGUUGAAACGACGCCGCGUUCGACGGGGG
This 683-nucleotide long non-coding RNA is filed under the name Triticum aestivum (bread wheat). RNAcentral describes it as "long non-coding RNA (TAES_LNC015652)". Lineage: Eukaryota; Viridiplantae; Streptophyta; Magnoliopsida; Poales; Poaceae. The record is from RNAcentral.